This 252-nucleotide ribosomal RNA is filed under the name uncultured bacterium. Its description in RNAcentral is "partial 16S ribosomal RNA". It matches the Rfam family "Bacterial small subunit ribosomal RNA", at positions 524 to 776 of the family's 1533-position model. The record is from RNAcentral.
UACGUAGGUCCCGAGCGUUGUCCGGAUUUAUUGGGCGUAAAGCGAGCGCAGGUGGUUUAUUAAGUCUGGUGUAAAAGGCAGUGGCUCAACCAUUGUAUGCAUUGGAAACUGGUAGACUUGAGUGCAGGAGAGGAGAGUGGAAUUCCAUGUGUAGCGGUGAAAUGCGUAGAUAUAUGGAGGAACACCGGUGGCGAAAGCGGCUCUCUAGCCUGUAACUGACACUGAGGCUCGAAAGCGUGGGGAACAAACAGG